UACGUAGGUGGCAAGCGUUGUCCGGAAUUAUUGGGCGUAAAGCGCGCGCAGGCGGUCCUUUAAGUCUGAUGUGAAAGCCCACGGCUCAACCGUGGAGGGUCAUUGGAAACUGGGGGACUUGAGUACAGAAGAGAAGAGUGGAAUUCCACGUGUAGCGGUGAAAUGCGUAGAGAUGUGGAGGAACACCAGUGGCGAAGGCGACUCUUUGGUCUGUAACUGACGCUGAGGCGCGAAAGCUAGGGGAGCAAACGGG
This 253-nucleotide ribosomal RNA is filed under the name uncultured bacterium. RNAcentral describes it as "partial 16S ribosomal RNA". It matches the Rfam family "Bacterial small subunit ribosomal RNA", at positions 524 to 776 of the family's 1533-position model. The record is from RNAcentral.